UACGGAGGGUGCAAGCGUUAUCCGGAUUCACUGGGUUUAAAGGGCGCGUAGGAGGGCAGGUAAGUCAGUGGUGAAAUCUUCGAGCUUAACUCGGAAACUGCCGUUGAUACUAUCUGUCUUGAAUGCCGUGGAGAUGAGCGGAAUAUGUCAUGUAGCGGUGAAAUGCUUAGAUAUGACAUAGAACACCGAUUGCGAAGGCAGCUCGUUACACGAACAUUGACUCUGAGGCUCGAAAGCGUGGGGAUCAAACAGG
Molecule: ribosomal RNA, 253 nt
Filed under: uncultured bacterium
Lineage: Bacteria
Description: partial 16S ribosomal RNA
Rfam family: Bacterial small subunit ribosomal RNA
Source: RNAcentral